Molecule: unclassified non-coding RNA, 377 nt
Filed under: uncultured Parachlamydiaceae bacterium
Lineage: Bacteria; Pseudomonadati; Chlamydiota; Chlamydiia; Parachlamydiales; Parachlamydiaceae
Description: contains 16S-23S intergenic spacer region
Source: RNAcentral
UCCUGGUUAACCCAGGCAGUCUCAUUAGAGUUCCCACCUUAAAUGUUGGCAACUAAUGAUAAGGGUUGCGCUCGUUGCGGGACUUAACCCAACACCUCACGGCACGAGCUGACGACAGCCAUGCAGCACCUGUUCAGAGGCCCCGAAGGGAGAUGCUAUUUCUAGCACUGUCCUCUGUAUGUCAAGUCUGGGUAAGGUUCUUCGCGUUGCAUCGAAUUAAACCACAUGCUCCACUGCUUGUGCGGGUCCCCGUCAAUUCUUUUGAGUUUCACCCUUGCGAGUGUACUCCCCAGGCGGUAUACUUAUCGCGUUAGCUACGGCACAGUCAGGGUUGAGUCCGACUACACCAAGUAUACAUCGUUUACGGCUAGGACUAC